AUUGAACGCUGGCGGAAUGCUUUACACAUGCAAGUCGAACGGCAGCACGGACUUCGGUCUGGUGGCGAGUGGCGAACGGGUGAGUAAUGUAUCGGAACGUGCCCAGCCGUGGGGGAUAACGUAGUGAAAAUUACGCUAAUACCGCAUACGAUCUCUGGAUGAAAGCGGGGGAUCGCAAGGCCUCGCGCGAUUGGAGCGGCCGAUAUCAGAUUAGGUAGUUGGUGGGGUAAAGGCCCACCAAGCCAACGAUCUGUAGCUGGUCUGAGAGGACGACCAGCCACACUGGAACUGAGACACGGUCCAGACUCCUACGGGAGGCAGCAGUGGGGAAUUUUGGACAAUGGGCGAAAGCCUGAUCCAGCCAUUCCGCGUGCAGGAUGAAGGCCCUCGGGUUGUAAACUGCUUUUGUACAAAACGAAAAGGUUUCUACUAAUACUAGGAGCUCAUGACGGUACUGUAAGAAUAAGCACCGGCUAACUACGUGCCAGCCGCCGCCGUAA
RNAcentral lists this ribosomal RNA (500 nucleotides) under uncultured bacterium. Its description in RNAcentral is "partial 16S ribosomal RNA". It matches the Rfam family "Bacterial small subunit ribosomal RNA", at positions 30 to 523 of the family's 1533-position model. The record is from RNAcentral.